UAAUACGAACUGUGCGAACGUUAUUCGGAAUCACUGGGCUUAAAGGGUGCGUAGGCGGUCCGCCCAGUCAGGUGUGAAAUCCCCCGGCUCAACCGGGGAAUAGCGCUUGAAACUAGCGGGCUGGAGUGAGGCAGGGGUGUGUGGAACUUCCGGUGGAGCGGUGAAAUGUGUAGAUAUCGGAAGGAACGCCGGUGGCGAAAGCGGCACACUGGGCCUUGUCUGACGCUGAGGCACGAAAGCUAGGGGAGUGAACGGGAUUAGAUACCCCGGUAAUCCUAGCCGUAAACACUGAGCACUGGAGGGGAGGGGCCUCGUGCCUUUUCCCUCGCAGCGAAAGCAUUAAGUGCUCCGCCUGGGGAGUAUGGUCGCAAGGCU
RNAcentral lists this ribosomal RNA (375 nucleotides) under uncultured bacterium. RNAcentral describes it as "bacterial SSU rRNA". It matches the Rfam family "Bacterial small subunit ribosomal RNA", at positions 521 to 895 of the family's 1533-position model. The record is from RNAcentral.